Molecule: non-coding RNA, 3612 nt
Organism: Phasianus colchicus (ring-necked pheasant)
Lineage: Eukaryota; Metazoa; Chordata; Aves; Galliformes; Phasianidae
Source: RefSeq, a predicted model, not a curated record
CGGGCCGGGAGCUCCUCCCGGAGCUUUUAAACAGCGAGAAGGGAGCCACGAGGAAGGCCGGGCGCUUCCAGGAUCUUGGCCGAAGCAUCGGGGCCGAGAGCGGGUCGCGCCGUUCGAACGCGGCCGCCCCGCGCCACGCCGACCUCCUCGGCCGCCCCCCUCUUUGUCGCGGCGUUGAUAUUGUAUUUCUUCAGAUGAGGAUUGAAUGCAGGGAAGACUGCAUGGAAACUCAGCAAACUGAUUAGCAAAGCUGCCUGGAGCAUGCAUCUCAUCUCAAGCAUCCUCUUACAUUGUCAGCUAAUGCUAGACUGGCAAUCUAUAGCACCAUAAACUAUCUCUUAAGGAUCCAGAAACAACUGAAUACAUCUCAUACAACGUUGCAACUCUUGCAGAAGAGGGCUCCAUGAACAGCCAAAGUGAAAUGAAAACUAGUAGAUACAUUGAUAGUUUCUGAUGUUGAAGACCAGUACAACACCUGCAGUGGGCUGACUGAUUGCAACCAUCUGAGAUGCUCCUUUGAAUUUGUUUACAUCUGUGCCUGAGGUCCUGUUAAAGGAUAACUUGGUUAAGCUUUAAUUUCUGUAGUCUCUGUGAUUUUAACAGGGAAUGGUUACCAAUUCUACCUCUGUUAUUUCUGUGUGACUUGAGUGGAUUUGCUCAACUGGAAUGCUAUCUACAAAUUAAUUGCUGAUCAUAAAAAAUAAUCUGUUGGUAUAUGAGAAAUUAAUAGCUCUGUGGUGAACUUCCAUAUUUAGCCUUUUCAAUUCUGUGAGUUUUUUUGUCUCUAUAUUGAGCCAGCAUCUUAAUUUUAUGGGAUGCUAGUACUGGUCAACCUCUUCAUGGUGUUGGCCAUAAAGCACUGGCUGUAGACCUUUGGGUAUGUCUGUCUUGAUUGCGGAUUUUGAUAGUAGUGGCAGUCCUGGAUUGUACCUAACAGUUUAGGAAGGUGUCAAUUAUAUAUAUAUGUACAUGCAUAAAUGGACUGAAUGGACAAUCUCUUCUGUGCAAUAAAAGCGUUUGGGUAGUCAAUGCAUUUCUUAAAAGGUGGAUGAUGAAUUCUGAAUGAAAAACCAGCAGGAUUAGAAAAUUCAAGUGAGCUAGGGAACUGUAUUUGGAUUUGGAAAUAAAUUUAUAAUAAGCUACAGCAAAGAUAUAUGAAUAGUUGUAGAAGAUCAACAAAGCUUGAUGCUCUCCUCAAGAAAUGGCAGCUUGUUCACACAGCAAACAAUAAGUAGAUUCUGAAAUUUGUUUCUUUGUGAUUCUUUUGUUCACUUGUAGCUUUUUAUAGAAACUUUUCUUUGUAGAUGCUGAAAAUUCUCAUGCAAACUGUAUUUGAAGGGAUGCAAAAGCAGCUAAGAUAUUGCAAGAGGUUUUGUGCUAGUGGAUUUUGAGUCAUACCUUGCUCUUGAUCAUGGGUUUCACAACUUAAGUGAGCAGGACUGGGACACAUGGUGCAGGCUUCCUUGAAUGUAGAAUGUAAACGAAAAGAUCACCCUUUUGGAGGUGCAGCUGUGCCAGUGGAAAGAAUAGUGAGAGAACUAAUUUGGGUGGUUAUACUUAAGUUUCUAGACCAACUACAUGGAAACUCUUGAGUGUAUUGAUUACUCAUGGCAGCAGUGUCGAAGACUAUUAUUUUAUUAAUUAUUAUUAAAAGAAGGCAGACUGAGGUAGGGUUUAGGAAGCACUCUGGCACUAAAGGAGUGGUCACACCUGGCUACAGCCUAUACUUUGUGCUCAAAUUAUUUACCACUUGAAUUUACUGGAGUAACUUCAUGGCUGGCUUUUUGCCUAUUGGCUGCUGAAGGCUCUUAUAGUGCAUGAGCUCAUGGGGUUCAUCUUCAUUACUGAACAAGACUGCCAACAGCCAAUUUCUGUCCCCAAGAGCAUGCUUUUGUACCAGGCUCUCCUUAUCUCUGGAAUCCACCAUCUGUAUUCUAUCUAACUAUUCCUGACUGUGGAUCAGGCAUUGCCUGGGGGAGGACUACUUAGGCUGAAUGAAAGGAUGCCAUAAACUACUGUAGCAAUAGAGAUAAUCCAGCUUUAGUGUCUGGACCCAUGGAUUGAUAACUUUUGUGGCAUAGGUGACUGAAAGCUGCUGCAACAGAUUGAUCUCUCCACCACAGACAGAAGCAAUGUCCACCUAUUCAGAACGCCUAGGUUUAAUUCUAUUGAACGUUAUGAUACAGGUAUCUUUUGUUCUUAGUAGGACAAGAGGCGGAAGAAAGAUAGUAAGUCAACAUAUUUUAAUACUCUCUGUUCUUUGUUGUGUGUAAAUCUGGAAAAAUUCCCUGUAAAAUGGAUUAAAACUCCCUAGACAGACCUAUAUACAUAUACUUGUAUGUAUACGCAACAUACACAAACAUACACUUGUAUGUUAAAAAUCAAAGAUCAUGUUUACUUUGAGGCAAAGGACUGAAGGGCACAAUGAUCCUUUAAAAUCUUACACAAGUUGUCUUUAUGUUUCUGUGUACUUCAUGAAUUUCUUGCUAUCUCUGGCCAUCAGUGAAAUAAAAAAUCAAAACAGAAAGUUAAAUAGUGACCUUCGCAUACGUACUGGCCUGCCUUUGUUUCCAAGUGUUAAUGCAUGUUUUCCUCGUUAAUAUUCUAGUUUUAUCAAUGUUGAUAUUUUUGCCCUUUUCCAAAGCAUCUUAAAGCCACUGAUGGCUUUAAUAUAGCUGCUAGUGUUGACAAGUAAAUAAGCACUUCAUGUUGUCUUUACUUAUGAAACUUUGUGGAGGAAGUUAGCUUUUACAUCAUUACCUUUCAUAAGUCAGGUAGUAGCUAUUCUUCGUGUUACCGUUAUCUCCUGGCAGUUACAGGCAAAAGGUAAGGAGAAAUACUAAUUCCUUCUUUCUUCCUUUCUUACUUACUACAUGGUUGUUUUUAUUUAUUUUUUUCCCCAGGGUGAGUAGCAGGGCUAACUUAGUGAUGCAAGUGGUAGCAUUUUUGUUUUAUAAUUUUCUAUUGUUUUGUAUUGUGCUGUGCCUAUCACACCUUGUUUUUGGUGCUCUGUACUGCUGGAAACAUUUUGUAGUUUCUUUUUAUUCUCUAUUUUUUGCAUCAGAGUUGUAGUUAAUUGGAUUACAGUUCAUGUUCUCUGCUUGAUUCCCAAGAGCAAGAAAGCAGAGAAGUCCUAGCCACCAUCUGCUUUUUCCCUGUCCUGUGGAUUUCUUUCAUCUGUAAUGAACUUAGACCAAAACACAGAACACUGCUCUCAUGAGCUACCGUAAUACCUCAAAGGAGUUUUUAGCUCACUGGACAAGAAUUUUGGGGCAUGGAGAUAGACAUUAAAUAGGUCAAGGAAUGAGCCCCAGAAAAGCUGAGAAUUUACAGAAUCGAACAACUGCUUUAAUAAUUACAGUGUUGUAAAUAUGAAAAAGAUCCAUGUACUUGUUCCACUGUAAAUAGUUCAAGGAACAUUCUCUUCAUCUCAUUGUAAUUUGCAAAAAUGUUGAUGGAACUUUGACCACAGGAUUGGCAGUGGUGUGUUGGCAAUUGGGCAACAGUUGAUUGAUGAAGUAAUGGUAUGGGUGGAAAUGUCUGUAAUCAGCUUCUCCGUAAACUCGGGUGAAACUUCUGCCUGCCAUUUGAUUUCCUUGUAAAAGAACUAAU